RNAcentral lists this ribosomal RNA (465 nucleotides) under uncultured bacterium. RNAcentral's name for it is "partial 16S ribosomal RNA". It matches the Rfam family "Bacterial small subunit ribosomal RNA", at positions 338 to 795 of the family's 1533-position model. The record is from RNAcentral.
CCUACGGGAGACAGCAGUGGGGAAUAUUGCGCAAUGGGCGAAAGCCUGACGCAGCGACGCCGCGUGAGGGAUGAAGGCCCUCUGAUUGGUAAACUUCGUUUGUUGGGAAGAAGUUGCCUGUGCCCAAUCACCUCUGCAUUUACCGUAUCUUCAAAGGUAGCAUCGGCUAACGCCGUGCCAGCAGCCGCGGUAAUACGGAGGGUGCGAGCGUUAAUCGGAAUUACUGGGCGUAAAGGGCACGUAGGCUGUAUGUCAAGUCGAGGGUGAAAGCCCACGGCUCAACCGUGGCACUGCCUUUGAAACUGGCGAGCUGGAGUAUAGGAGAGGUAGGCGGAAUUCCUGGUGUAGCGGUGAAAUGCGUAGAUAUCAGGAGGAACAUCGGUGGCGAAGGCGGCCGACUGGAACGAAACUGACGCUGAGGUGCGAAAGCGUGGGUAGCAAACAGGAUUAGAUACCCUAGUAGUC